RNAcentral lists this ribosomal RNA (393 nucleotides) under uncultured archaeon. RNAcentral's name for it is "bacterial SSU rRNA". It matches the Rfam family "Archaeal small subunit ribosomal RNA", at positions 489 to 882 of the family's 1478-position model. The record is from RNAcentral.
GAAUCGUGGAGUUUAUUGGGCCUAAGCAUCCGUAGCUGGCUAAGUUAGUCCCUUGUUAAAUCCACCGAAUUAAUCGUUGGAUUGCGGGGGAUACUGCUUGGCUAGGGGACGAGAGAGGCAGACGGUAUUUCCGGGGUAGGGGUGAAAUCCUAUAAUCCCGGGAAGACCACCAGUGGCGAAGGCUGUCUGCUAGAACGCGCCCGACGGUGAGGGAUGAAAGCUGGGGGAGCGAACCGGAUUAGAUACCCGGGUAGUCCCAGCUGUAAACGAUGCAGACUAGGUGUUUGGACGGCCACGUGCCGUUCUAGUGCCGCAGGGAAGCUGUUAAGUCUGCCGCCUGGGGAGUACGAUCGCAAGAUUGAAACUUAAAGGAAUUGCGGGGGGGAGCACAAA